CCGCGCCCAGAUGUUCCGGUUGCAUCUCGGGAGCACUCCCCACAACCUCACGGAUGCAAACAUCCACGAGCUGGCCCGGAAGACGGAAGGCUACUCGGGCGCGGACAUCAGCAUCAUCGUGCGGGACUCCCUCAUGCAGCCCGUGAGGAAGGUGCAGUCGGCCACACACUUCAAAAAGACAUACCCGAGACUGGGAAGAAAAAGAGGUUGAAUUGGCCUCACAGUUCCACAUGGCUGGGGAGGCCUCAGAAUCAUGGUAGGAGACCAAAGGCACUUCUUACAUGCUGGUGGCAAGAGAAAAUGAAGAAGCAAAAGUGGAAACCCCUGAUAAACCCAUCACAUCUCGUGAGACUUCACCAUCACAAGAAUAGCACGGGAAACACCAGCCCCCGUGAUUCAGUUACCUCCCCCUGGGUCCCUCCCACAACAUGUGGGAAUUCUAGGAGAUACAGUUCAAGUUGAAAUGU
RNAcentral lists this small RNA (467 nucleotides) under Pongo abelii (Sumatran orangutan). RNAcentral describes it as "processed transcript". The record is from RNAcentral. Lineage: Eukaryota; Metazoa; Chordata; Mammalia; Primates; Hominidae.